CAAUAGCGUAUAUUAAAGUUGUUGCAGUUAAAAAGCUCGUAGUUGGAUUUCUGGGCCUUGUUUGUGGUCCGCCGCAAGGUGAGCACUGCGGACGGGGUCCUUUCCUCCCGACGUCCACGUGUGCCCUUAGCUGGGUGUGCGUGGGACUCGGGACCUUUACUUUGAAAAAAUUAGAGUGUUCAAAGCAGGCGCUUGCUUGGAUACCUCAGCAUGGAAUAAUGGAAUAGGACUUUGGUUCUAUUUCGUUGGUUCUAGGACCGAAGUAAUGAUUAAUAGGGACAGUUGGGGGCAUUAGUAUUUAAUUGUCAGAGGUGAAAUUCUUAGAUUUAUGAAAGACUAACUACUGCGAAAGCAUUUGCCAAGGAUGUUUUCAUUAA
RNAcentral lists this ribosomal RNA (377 nucleotides) under uncultured eukaryote. Its description in RNAcentral is "partial 18S ribosomal RNA". It matches the Rfam family "Eukaryotic small subunit ribosomal RNA", at positions 592 to 976 of the family's 1831-position model. The record is from RNAcentral.